CCCUGCUCCUUGCACACACCGCCCGUCGCUUCGCCGAAGUUGGUUCUUGGCGAGGUUGUGCCUAAUUGGCGCUAUCGAACCUGGGGUCAGCAACGGGGGAG
This 101-nucleotide ribosomal RNA is filed under the name uncultured bacterium. RNAcentral describes it as "partial 16S ribosomal RNA". It matches the Rfam family "Archaeal small subunit ribosomal RNA", at positions 1328 to 1429 of the family's 1478-position model. The record is from RNAcentral.